CCUACGGGGGGCAGCAGUAAGGAAUAUUGGACAAUGGCCGCAAGGCUGAUCCAGCCAUGCCGCGUGCAGGAAGAAGGCCCUAUGGGUCGUAAACUGCUUUUGAACGGGAGAAAACCCUUGCUCGUGAGCGAGGCUGAUAGUACCGUUAGAAUAAGCAGCGGCUAACUUCGUGCCAGCAGCCGCGGUAAGACGAAGGAUGCAAGCGUUAUCCGGAUUCAUGGGGGCUAAAGGGAGCUUGUGAGUCAGUGGAGAAAUCUGUGGGCUUAACCCACAAACUGCCAUUGAUACUGCAGGUCUAGAGUACAGUUGCCGUUGGCGGAAUAUGACAUGUAGUGGUGAAAUACUUAGAUAUGUCAUAGAACACCGAUUGCGAAGGCAGCUAACGAAGCUGUAACUGACGCUGAGGCUCGAAAGUGCGGGGAUCAAACAGGAUUAGAUACCCGUGUAGUC
Molecule: ribosomal RNA, 450 nt
Filed under: uncultured bacterium
Lineage: Bacteria
Description: partial 16S ribosomal RNA
Rfam family: Bacterial small subunit ribosomal RNA
Source: RNAcentral